Molecule: unclassified non-coding RNA, 235 nt
Filed under: plant metagenome
Description: partial contains small subunit ribosomal RNA, internal transcribed spacer 1, and 5.8S ribosomal RNA
Source: RNAcentral
UUUCCGUAGGUGAACCUGCGGAAGGACCAUUACCGAGUGAGGGCCCUCUGGGUCCAACCUCCCACCCGUGUCUAUCGUACCUUGUUGCUUCGGCGGGCCCGCCUCACGGCCGCCGGGGGGCAUCUGCCCCCGGGCCCGCGCCCGCCGAAGACACCUAUGAACUCUGUCUGAAGAUUGCAGUCUGAGUGAAAUGGUAAAUUAUUUAAAACUUUCAACAACGGAUCUCUUGGUUCCG